This 1060-nucleotide long non-coding RNA is filed under the name Amborella trichopoda. RNAcentral's name for it is "long non-coding RNA (ATRI_LNC001696)". Lineage: Eukaryota; Viridiplantae; Streptophyta; Magnoliopsida; Amborellales; Amborellaceae. The record is from RNAcentral.
AAUUGGAAAACAUUCUAGUUUUAUUUUAUUAUAUUGGUAAACUAUUUGGAUGUAUAAUUUUAUUGAUUUGUCGAGAAAAACUAAGGCCAGUGAAUUUCAAUGUGCUUACCCCCUGCCCCUUUUCUCUCGGUGCCUCUCAAACCUCUUGUAUUUCUAGAGAGAGGGAGGGGACGAUGGAGAGGAUCGAAGAACCAACGCUUCUCGCCCUUUUAGGGAGCUUUGCAUAGGAGAAGCUUGGGCGAUCGUUAACCUUGCAAAAUCCACCAUCGAUCUUAGAGAACACGACCUUGUGACACCUUUGUUGAAUUGGAAGCCACUUCUCGUCUUGUGAAAUGUCAGGCAUGCUCUUCUUCUUUAAUGGCCCCUAAACCUAUGGCAAUUCCUUUGGUAAAAAGUGCCAAACGAAGAUUCAGAGAUAAACCCACCACUGUUUUUGAUGGAGAAACCAGAACCUGGUCUUAUUUUCAUGUCAGGAUUUUCUCGUAAUCUAUGGGUAAAGAGGGAAAAUUGAGGGUGGGGAACAAUUGGGUUCAGUGAAAGAAAGUGGGAAGAUUGGAACCUGAGUUUUCCUUUGAGAGAGAAGCUGGGAUUUCCCAAGAGAGAGAAAGAGAAAGGAGAGGAGCACAGGCUUGAGGAAACGGUUGCGGACCUGGGGUUUCUAGAGAGAGAGAGGGUUGGGGGCUCUUGGGAUUUCUAUAGAGAGAGAGAAUGGUGGGCUUUCUCUCAGCUCCCUCGUAACAGAGAGAGAUUGAGGAAUACAGAUUCCGUAAAAAAAAAAGGCCUAAGCUUCUUUAGAGAGGAAGACAUUGAGAAAACCAGAAAAAUGGCAUACCUGUUUUUGCUCUACAACUGCCUUUGAUGCCUUGUGAGCUUUAAGUGAGAGAGAGGGCUUGAUCUUGGGAGAGGUGUUCCCGACAGUAGCAGAGAGUUUCUUAGCAGCAGAACUCCGGGUUUUGAACGAGAGAGAGUAGAGAGUUUCUACGUAGCAGAGCUCUGGGUUUUGAACGAGAGAGAGCGUAGCUCUAUGUUUGCAUGAGAGAGUAGAAGGAGAUGAGGGAAA